CUUCAUUGGUACAUCCAUACAUCCAACUACUCACUUCUCUUCCCACCUGCCCUUCCAUUCAACUCACUCCUCCAUCCAUCCAUCUCUCACACCCCAUCUGUAUUGGUCACUGUGGAUUCCACCAUGAACUACUAGUAAAUGUGUCUGGCCCCUCUUCUAAGAUCCAGCCUGUGGCAGAUUGCUGGUCCCUCUCCUCAUGACCAGGGCCAGCCAUGCUCCUGUCAAAGCCUCACCUAGCCUCUGACACAGACACCUACCUUGGCCUCCCUGGUCACAGCCUCCCUUCAGCUCCUCCAAAGGGCCCUUGCACUAGGCUCUUCUUCUUCCAGACCUGAGUCUCAUCUGCCCCUCACCUCAGCCUUGGUUGUCCUUUGCUCAUCAGGUCUCAGGUUCAACCUGGGGCUCUGUGUCUCUCUCAGCAAGUGGGCCUCCCAGAUCUCCCCCAACCCCUACCUCAGUGAGCUGGUUAGUCCUUCCUGUGUCUGCAGCUUUAUCUCUCAUGAG
Mastomys coucha (southern multimammate mouse) is the source of this 504-nucleotide long non-coding RNA. RefSeq lists it as uncharacterized. The record is from RefSeq and is a predicted model, not a curated record. The transcript is spliced from 3 exons. NCBI's taxonomy places the organism in Eukaryota, Metazoa, Chordata, Mammalia, Rodentia, Muridae.